UGGCUCAGUGGUAGAGUGCUUGCCUUGCAUGCAUGAGGCCCUGGGUUCAAUUCCUCG
Molecule: transfer RNA, 57 nt
Filed under: Dipodomys ordii (Ord's kangaroo rat)
Lineage: Eukaryota; Metazoa; Chordata; Mammalia; Rodentia; Heteromyidae
Rfam family: tRNA
About the family: Transfer RNA (tRNA) molecules are approximately 80 nucleotides in length. Their secondary structure includes four short double-helical elements and three loops (D, anti-codon, and T loops).
Source: Rfam by way of RNAcentral